UUACGGGUGCUCUUCUUCGCAGCUGCAUGACUCACACCACUUACUUCAGAGCCUCCUGAGAUGACAUGAAUCACCCGGUCCUGGCGAGGUGGUGAGCUUGGUGCGUCUCCUUUGGAUUUCCCUGAUGCUUCUUUGCUAAGAUGAGCCUUGGCUUUCUCUGAAAGGAAUUCUCGGAGAUGCCCCUUUUGGAGCAGUUCGUUGACCUCGAUCUUCAAGGCGACGCAGUCUUCAGUUUUGUGGCCGUGAUCGCGAUGGAAGUCGCACCAGAG
RNAcentral lists this long non-coding RNA (269 nucleotides) under Brassica napus (rape). Its description in RNAcentral is "long non-coding RNA (BNAP_LNC026043)". Lineage: Eukaryota; Viridiplantae; Streptophyta; Magnoliopsida; Brassicales; Brassicaceae. The record is from RNAcentral.